Molecule: unclassified non-coding RNA, 200 nt
Filed under: soil metagenome
Description: partial contains internal transcribed spacer 2 and large subunit ribosomal RNA
Source: RNAcentral
UCAUUUGUACCUUCAAGCUAUGCUUGGUGUUGGGUGUUUGUCCUCUCCCCUGCGUUUGGACUCGCCUUAAAGUCAUUGGCAGCCUGUAUAUUGGUUUUGAGCGCAGCACAUUUUGCGUCUUGCAUCUAUUUAUACUAGCAUCCAUCAAGCCCUUUAUCACUUUUGACCUCGGAUCAGGUAGGGAUACCCGCUGAACUUAA